CUAGACCUGAAAUCAGUCGAGGUUACCCGCUGAAUUUAAGCAUAUUACUAAGCGGAGGAAAAGAAAAUAACUAUGAUUCCCUCAGUAACGGCGAGUGAAGCGGGAAGAGCUCAAAGUGAAAAUCGCUGUUUCUUUUGGAACUGCGAAUUGUAGCCUCUAGAGGCGUUGCCAGUGGAAAGGCAGGUCUAAGUUUCUUGGAACAGAACUUCAAAGAGGAGUGAAGCGGGAAGAGCUCAAAGUGAAAAUCGCUGUUUCUUUUGGAACUGCGAAUUGUAGCCUCUAGAGGCGUUGCCAGUGGAAAGGCAGGUCUAAGUUUCUUG
RNAcentral lists this ribosomal RNA (320 nucleotides) under Eimeria bukidnonensis. Its description in RNAcentral is "eukaryotic LSU rRNA". It matches the Rfam family "Eukaryotic large subunit ribosomal RNA", at positions 1 to 299 of the family's 3401-position model. The record is from RNAcentral. Lineage: Eukaryota; Apicomplexa; Conoidasida; Eucoccidiorida; Eimeriidae.